AGUGAACGCUGGCGGUAGGCCUAACACAUGCAAGUCGAACGGCAGCACAGUAAGAGCUUGCUCUUACGGGUGGCGAGUGGCGGACGGGUGAGGAAUACAUCGGAAUCUACUUUUUCGUGGGGGAUAACGUAGGGAAACUUACGCUAAUACCGCAUACGACCUACGGGUGAAAGCAGGGGAUCUUCGGACCUUGCGCGAUUGAAUGAGCCGAUGUCGGAUUAGCUAGUUGGCGGGGUAAAGGCCCACCAAGGCGACGAUCCGUAGCUGGUCUGAGAGGAUGAUCAGCCACACUGGAACUGAGACACGGUCCAGACUCCUACGGGAGGCAGCAGUGGGGAAUAUUGGACAAAGGGCGCAAGCCUGAUCCAGCCAUACCGCGUGGGAGAAGAAGGCCUUCGGGUUGUAAAGCCCUUUUGUUGGGAAAGAAAAGCAGCAGGUUAAUACCCCGCUGUUCUGACGGUACCCAAAGAAUAAGCACCGGCUAACUUCGUG
Molecule: ribosomal RNA, 492 nt
Filed under: uncultured bacterium
Lineage: Bacteria
Description: partial 16S ribosomal RNA
Rfam family: Bacterial small subunit ribosomal RNA
Source: RNAcentral